GCUUCGAUGAUGUUAAUACUGAAAAAUUAAGAUUGAGAAUGAAGGAAAUAAACAUGGAUGAAGUGCUCAAUUUUGACCCUCGUUGUAUCAAAUGGGAAGAUUACUUAAUGAAUAUUCACAUUCCUGGAGUUGUGAAGUACUUGUUCUAGGGAUCUUAUUUAAGCUUAUGUUUUACAUUAAAUUUUAACUGAAAAAGUGAAAAGGAAGUCAAUUGGCAUGAGUGCUUUUUUUUCUGAUUUAUGGUAAGGUCAUUGAGCCUCUGAGCCCAGUUGAGUGUGAAACCAGUUGGAUUGGACCAGAAAUAAAGUUAUUAAUGGGCAAAUUUAUGAACAUUUCAGUUGGAUCAAUUAACACUUCACAUUGCAGCCCAAGUCAACUUGGGCGGUAAGAAGAGAUUUUGGAAUAUAAAUUGCUACUUUUUUUUCUUCUUUCCGGUAUCUACAUUGAAGGAGGGAAACACUUCUUUUCAAGAAUUUUUUCGGACUCGAAUUCGAAAUCUCUAAUUAAGAAAAAGUCAAACACCAUAUUCUUUGGGAGUAAAUACUUGCAACUAAAAAUACAUAUUCCACAAAAAAACAGGCAAAUGAAAUUAAUAAGAAUUUUCAUUCACAGAAUUGAAGACAAGGCUUUAUUAAUCAAUCUCAUAAUUAGUAUUCUUGUCUUGAAAAAAAAAUCAAAAGCACUUAUUUUUAGGAGAAUCUAUUUUACUUUUUUUAGCUUUUGCUUAAGAAUUGAACAAUUGUUUUUACUAUAUUUUAUAAAGUAUAACCAAACACCCUAAUCAGCUCUAAAAAAAAGUACUUUUUUUGAAAGUAAAUACUUCUCAUUAUUGAGAAGUUUGGCCAAGCAAUUAUUAUAUAUUCCACGUUUCUAAUUUAUUACUAUUCUUUUAUGUAUUAUAGGUUUGGUUAGCUAAGGGUUUGGCCAAAAUAUGUUUAGGCCAUGCUAAGCUACUCUUUAUCUAGACUAGAUGGUGAAAUUAGCUAUAUGAAUUUCUCUUCCUUAUUUAUUUCUUAGCUUUUGAUUUUCACUACUUUUACUAUCAAACUUUUUAUGGAUACCUACUUCACAAGUAAUCUGACAGUACAACAUUUUAAGGAUAUCAAUCAUAGGCUAUUGUUUGUACACAUGAUUUAUGAUUUGCAUGGUAGCUCAUUUCGAUUCGAUUCAUUUCAGUUCAACUAACUUUUGAAAAAUCAAUAACAUAUAAUUUAUUAAUUUAGUUUAUUUUAGUCCGUUCAAACACAAUCUAAUCCGCUCUUUUAAUACCUCUUAUAUCAAAUAGUGCUUUGUGCGUUGUCAGUUUAAUUUGGGUUCAUACAUACCAUAUUCAAUCGAAGAAAAAUCAUUUUCUUCUAUUCAAUUUGUCGGGUCCUCUCAUUGAGGCUAUUUGGUUGUUACUUGUUAGAAUUGUUUCUCCUCCGUAUUUAUCGAGAAGAUCAGGCUAUUUAAUAGCUAUAACCGAAUCAAAGUUUAAAGUCAAGAGAAUUGAAUUCAAAAUAAUUGUAAUCUUAUUAUAUAUAGCAGAUACAUCUGAAUAUUUGUGUAUCUAUGGAUCGGAGUAUGGACCCAAAAAAAAAAAUAUGUCUAUGAUUUCUAGUAUGUAGAACCUAGGUAAGUAGAUAGAUAUCAACGUAAACCUGCAUUAAAUGGAUUAAUAUUAGCAUAAGAUAAAGGAAGAGGUAUAUUUGUGUUCAAUUUUUUUUCGAGACUAAUUGUAACUGGGAUUUUUUUUUUACCAGAAUGGUAAAAUAAUAUAUUUCACAUUAUUUUAUUUUACAUUUUUGAACAUUUUUACCCUUUUAACUCUAAUACCUUUUAAUUAAUGGAAAAAAAGAUCAAUUUAUUUUAAAAUAAAAAGGAUAUUAUAGACUUUUUAAAUUUCUAGCCAAAUUCUGAGGCUGUCCCAACAAUCAGGGGUGUAUUUCUUGGAAGACUCAAUUCAUUAGAUAAGCCUAGUACAUAAUCACUGAUAGGAUCAUUCCUAAAAUUAACAAAUAAUUAAUGGGCACACUUUGAAGCAAGUUGAUCCUAGAAGACUAACCUCGUAGCUCACUUAGAUCAAUCAGUUCAAGCAUUGACAAACCCGGGGUUUCACGAGUUCACGUGAAUUCAUGCUUCUCUUCCGAGAUUAUAUAUAGUAGUGUUAUGAGAUUAGAAACUUAAAUCUUAUAUAUUUAUCUUCUUCUCUUUUUUUCUUUUUAAAAUUGAAUAAUACCUUUCUAAGUGGUUGUUGCUAGCACUUUCGGUAAUAGUGCAUUGCAUCCUCUCGAAAUCCUUAAUAUCUCUUUGCUCUAUAAACCUUUUGUACAAGAAUUCCUCUUUUUGUUAUAUUUAUAGCUUUCAUUUUAUGACGGAAAAAAAAGAGGCUUCUACGUGUCUUGCAUGAGUGAAAAACACGUGAACAAUUAAUUGUGUAAAAAAUGUCAAAAGGACACAAAUUAAUUCAAGUGUCUAAGAGAAAAUUGAUAUUAACUUCAUGAAGCUGACAUGGUUCCGCCUAUAUAAUAAGUACAAAAAUCCAUACAUCAAUUACAAGUUGCACUUUCAUAGAACGAAAUUGUAGUCAUCUGAAUUAGCCAAAAAUAGUUAAAUCUCCCUAAUGGAAUCACGUACAAUUGAGCAGUUCCAAGGCAAGACUAUUUUGAUUACCGGUGCUACCAGUUUCCUUUCAAAGCGUACUCUCUCUUCUCUCUUGUUAUAUAAAAUCUGUUUAAUUAAAGUACUAAUUACUUAAUUCCUGGGAAUUAACUAAAUUUGCAUUUGUUUUGAUAAUAUUGACAUAUGCAGUUCUUGUGGAGAAGAUAUUUCGUAUUCAACCAAAUGUGAAGAAAGUCUACCUUCUCAUUAGAGCUUCUGACUACAACUCUGCCAGAAAACGCUUCACUAAUGAGGUAAUUAAGAUGAGUUUCUUUUAAAUUAUAUUUGAUUGUAUAAAUAUAUUUUACAUCGAUAUUGAUAGUGAAUAGAAAUUAAACUCACACGUACGUAUAGGUCAUGAUGUCUGAAUUAUUCAAUAGUAUAAGGGAAAAAAUGGGUAGUGUAUACUUUUGCUCUCUCGUGGAGGAGAAAGUGUUUGCAAUUUCAGGUGACAUUUCACAAGAAGAUAUGGGAAUUAUAAAUUCUCAAUUGAGAAACGAGAUGUACAAAGAAAUUGAUAUAAUCAUAAACUCAGCUGCAACCUUUGAUGAAAGGUACAAAUAUAAAAUUGUUAAUAUAGUUUUCAAGUUUCUUUUUAAAAAAAAUAAAUUAAUUAAGAUAAUUUUAUUUUCUCUAAUAUUUCAUUUAAAUUUUGUUUAAAUAGAUAUGAUAUUGCAAUGAAUGUCAAUGUGGUGGGUGCCAUGAAUGUUCUCAAGUUUGCAAAGAAUUGUACAAAAGUGAAAAUGCUUCUUCACGUAUCUACCGGUAAGUUAAUAGUACUGUUUAGUCAAUUUGGUUAUCAAUUUUAGAUUGAUUAAAUUAAACAUGUGAAAAUGAAUUGAAUUACUUAAUAAAUAGGAGAUUACUAACCUGCCCAAACUUAAACGAAUUGUGCAGCUGGCCUUGUUUUGAUGGGCUAAUUUUGCUGCCCCAAUUUAUCAAAUAUAUACUAGCAUUAUAAAUUUUUUUGCAUGAUAUCAAUUUUAUCGAAUUAAUCAUUAUCUGACAUUUUUAAAAAAAAAAUAUUAUUAAUACAUAAAAUUUAAAUUCUUUAUUUUAUAUACAGCUUAUGUUUGCAGCAAAACAACAGAAAUUGUACGUGAAAAACCAUUAGUUAUGGGUGAAACAUUCAACGAAAACUCUUAUUUGGAUAUGGAUGUGGAAAGGAGAGUGAUAGCAAAUAAAUUAAAGGAACUUGAAACUCAAAAUGCAACACCAAAGGAAGUUACGACAGCCAUGAAAGAACUUGGCAUUCAAAGGUUAUUACUCCUAGAUGAUAUAUAUAUGAGAUAAAUUCAACAAAGGAAGUGCAACAAAUUCUUAAGUUCAUUAUUCUUGUAAAAUUGAAAAUAUUAGCAUACAACUUACUCGAAAUAAUGGAUCGUUAAUUAGGGCAAAGUUACAUGGAUGGCUAUACACAUAUAGCUUCACAAAAGCAAUGGGAGAGAUGAUUUUGGGACACUUGAAGGAGAAUUUACAGCUUGUUAUCAUACGUCCAACGAUUAUAACUAGUACCUAUAAAGAACCAUUUCCGGGAUGGAUUGAAGGUGUAAGGUAAGUAAAUACUUAUAGACACAAUAUAAUAUUACUUUUUGAUUUAGGUUGUUAAAAACAUAAUUAAACUAAUUAAAUCGUGUUAUCGUUUUUUUUUUUUUUUUUUUGCUAAAUUUAGAUAGAUAUAUCUUUAUCCCUUCUUAUAUUAUUUUCUAAUAACAGAACAUUGGAUGCAUUUAUUUUGGCUUAUGGAAAAGGUGUUUUGAAUUUCUUCUAUGGUAAUCCUGACUCAAAACUUGAUACGGCAAGUUAUUUAAUUUCCUACUUUAUAAUUAAUUUCAACUUGGUGAUUAUACGUCUAUUUUAAGGCUAUUUUUUACCUUUUAAUUCCAUCUUUAAAAUAUAAAGGCCAAAGUAAAUAUAUGAAUAGCUCCUAAAGUUGAUGCAUUCUCUUUUUCUUUUAUACAUUUCAACUGACAAUUAAACAUUUGACAUAUGCCUAAACGCUAUACAGAUUCCAGGUGAUCUGGUGGUGAACGCAAUUUUUGCAGCGAUUUUAGCACAUGAAAAUAAUCAAUGUUCUCAACAAGUGCUUAUUUAUCACAUCAGCUCUUCUUCAAGAGGCCCUCCAAGAAAUUCAGAUAUAAAACAUUUCAUGUUUCACUACUUCACAAAGAAUCCAUGGAUUAACAAAGAUGGGAAAACUAUCAAAGUGACAAAGCCUAUAUUAUUUAGCAAUAUAUCAAGCUUUCGAAGACACAUUUCAAUUCAUUAUUCCCUGCUGUUAAAGGUUUUUAUUUAGUAUUGUCCUUACUAAUCAUUUGGUUUAUUAUUAACAAAAAUAAUUGCACAAUAAAAUUUUGUACAAGUCAUAUAACGUUUGAUUUGUCAUAUGUAUAAGAAAAAAUCAUCGCUACAUACCUUAAUGUGGAGCUUGAUACUCUUUAUAUAACUAGUAUGUGAACAAUUGACAAUACUUUAAAAGUGUAAUUAUCAAAUUCUUUAGAUUUUUUUCAAGUUGUCUUUCAAUUGUAUUGCUAACUCAUGUUAUAAAAUGUUUCAGAUGCUAAAGUUUGUGAACCUAGUGUCAUUUCAUCGAUUUGAUAAAACAUAUGAAAAUAUGAAAAUGAAGAUGUGUAAGGCUAUACGUCUAUCUGAAUUAUACGAACCCUACAUGUUUUUUUAUGAAAGGUAUGCAUACGUUGUAACUUUUAUUUUGUUCAAUAUUUAGCAUUACAUAUAACUAAUAAUCCAAGAAUAUUAAUGCUAAACAAUUAUUUUUUUCAGCUUCGAUGAUGUUAAUACUGAAAAAUUAAGAAUGACAGUGAAGGAAAUCAACUUGGAUGAAGUGCUUAAUUUUGAUCCACGAUGCAUUAAUUGGGAGGAUUACUUUAUGAAUACUCACAUUCCUGGAUCUGUGAGAUACCUGUUUUAGGGAUUAUAUAUAAGCUUUUUCUAUAUGUAUGCUUAAUUAUAAGAUUUACUUUAGCGCUUUGAUAAUUAAGAAGGUUGUUUAAUUUAUGUGUACUCGUCAUAUAUUUUCAAUCAGGGGCGGAAUUAGCAUAUAUAAUGCGUGUUUUUGGAAAUCUAAUAAUUUUUGUGCGAAU
Molecule: long non-coding RNA, 5741 nt
Filed under: Solanum tuberosum (potato)
Lineage: Eukaryota; Viridiplantae; Streptophyta; Magnoliopsida; Solanales; Solanaceae
Description: long non-coding RNA (STUB_LNC006836)
Source: RNAcentral